Molecule: ribosomal RNA, 250 nt
Filed under: uncultured prokaryote
Description: partial 16S ribosomal RNA
Rfam family: Bacterial small subunit ribosomal RNA
Source: RNAcentral
UACGAAGGGUGCUAGCGUUGUUCGGAAUUAUUGGGCGUAAAGGGUGUGUAGGCGGUUUCGUAAGUUAAUUGUGAAAGCCCAGGGCUCAACCUUGGAAUUGCGGUUAAAACUGCGGAACUAGAGUAUGAUAAGCGAUGGCAGAAUUUCUAGUGUAGGGGUAAAAUCCGCAGAUAUUAGAAGGAAUACCGGUGGUGUAGACGGCUAUCUUGGUCAUUACUGACGCUGAGGCACGAAAGUGUGGGGAGCAAAC